GCUGCCCUUAGAGGCAUUACAGGUGGGGCUACUGUGUGACAUGUGUCAGUAGGUGGCAGAGAGGAAAGAGGCUAUGUCUGUACUCAGUGUUCUGACUUAUGAAGAUCUGAAUGAUUCGUGGCCUAGCAUA
Small nucleolar RNA from Apodemus sylvaticus (European woodmouse), 130 nucleotides. RefSeq annotates it as small nucleolar RNA SNORA17. NCBI's taxonomy places the organism in Eukaryota, Metazoa, Chordata, Mammalia, Rodentia, Muridae. The record is from RefSeq and is a predicted model, not a curated record. The transcript has a single exon.